Molecule: ribosomal RNA, 1322 nt
Filed under: Proctophyllodes ateri
Lineage: Eukaryota; Metazoa; Arthropoda; Arachnida; Sarcoptiformes; Proctophyllodidae
Description: partial 28S ribosomal RNA
Rfam family: Eukaryotic large subunit ribosomal RNA
Source: RNAcentral
UGACAUCAAUGGUGUUCAAGAGAUGCGGCGUUAAUGUAUCGACCCAUCAUGCAUUGUUCCACAUUUCAAGUUCCUACGACCGGGACUUCCAGAGCGGGUGUAAGACCCAUAGAGAUGAGGAACCAGUGUAUGCUGAGCGAUGCAUUCUAGAGUCAGGUUGCUUGAGAGUGCAGCUUAAAGUCGGUGGUAAACUCCAUCCAAGACUAAAUACUACAGCGAGACCGAUAGCAAACAAGUACCGUGAGGGAAAGUUGCAAAGCACUUUGAAGAGAGAGUUCAAAAGUACGUGAAACCACUGGGAGGCAAACAGAUGGAACCACGAAGUGUGCGCCUCGGUCGAUUCAAUCAUCACUUUUGAUCAGUUGUAGUUGAUCAGGAUCUUUUCGGAGGUUGAUUUUCUACAAUUAUGAUCAAAGGUGUUGGUGCAUUUCGUGCCGAGGAUGCAAAGCCACGUUCAACUAGAGUUGGGACGGCUGUAAGAAAGAAUCCGAGAAAGGUGACCGUCAAGUGCUUGCAUUUGACGGCGUUAUAGUCUCGGAUUGGCACCGUCUUCUAACAUACUGGUUGAUGGAAAUUCUCCAUUUGGAGUUGAACCAUAUCUGCCUGUGAUUGUUAGUCGAUGUUGCGUAAUGUUCUUUGCGUAUCUUUCGAUGCGAAAAGACUUUGCAAAAAUGUCGGUUAAUGGUUGCUUGCGUGAUAUGGUGGAACUGUGGCGUGAGUAGGUCGGUCUCCAUCUGACCCGUCUUGAAACACGGACCAAGGAGCCUAUCAUAUACGCGAGUCGCUCGGUCUUGUUUAGGCCUGGGAGGCGUAAUGAAAGUAAAGUUACGAGGCUUCGGCUGCAGUAACGGCUCGCCCACUUUGUUUAUUGGCAAUAUGGCGAAGCUGGAGCGUAUACGAUGGUACCCGAAAGAUGGUGAACUAUGCCUGGGCAAGACGAAGCCAGAGGAAACUCUGGUGGAGGUCUGUAGCGAUUCUGACGUGCAAAUCGAUCGUCAGACCUGGGUAUAGGGGCGAAAGACUAAUCGAACCAUCUAGUAGCUGGUUCCCUCCGAAGUUUCCCUCAGGAUAGCAGGCAUUUAUUUAAAUAUGUGUGCAGUCUCAUCCGGUAAAGCUAAUGAUUAGAGGUCUUGGGGUUGAAACGACCUCAACCUAUUCUCAAACUUUAAAUGGGUGAGAUGGUUGACUUUCUUGAUUGAAGCCAACCAUUUGGAUGCAAAUGCCUAGUGGGCCAUUUUUGGUAAGCAGAACUGGCGCUGUGGGAUGAACCAAACGUCGAGAUAAGGCAUCAAAUGCGUACGCUCAUCAGACCCCAUGAAAGG